GCCCGGGUGGUGAAAUUGGUAGACACAAGGGAUUUAAAAUCCCUCGCUAGAAAUAGCGUGCCGGUUCAAGUCCGGCUCCGGGUACCA
Molecule: transfer RNA, 87 nt
Filed under: Gammaproteobacteria bacterium
Lineage: Bacteria; Pseudomonadati; Pseudomonadota; Gammaproteobacteria
Also listed under: 6 other names
Description: tRNA-Leu
Rfam family: tRNA
About the family: Transfer RNA (tRNA) molecules are approximately 80 nucleotides in length.
Source: RNAcentral